RNAcentral lists this ribosomal RNA (772 nucleotides) under Candidatus Atribacteria bacterium. RNAcentral's name for it is "bacterial SSU rRNA". It matches the Rfam family "Bacterial small subunit ribosomal RNA", at positions 7 to 800 of the family's 1533-position model. The record is from RNAcentral. Lineage: Bacteria; Pseudomonadati; Atribacterota; Atribacteria.
GAGAGUUUGAUCCUGGCUCAGGAUGAACGCUGGCGGUGUGGAUAAGGCAUGCAAGUCGAGCGGGUUUAGACCCGCGGCGAACGGGUUAGUAACACGUAGGAAUCUACCUUUGUCUCGAGGAUAACCCGGAGAAAUCCGGGAUAAUACUCGAUAGUCUCGCAAGAGUAAAGGUUUCCAAUUUAUUGGAAUUCCGGACAAAGAGGAGCCUGCGUCCUAUCAGCUUGUUGGUAAGGUAAUGGCUUACCAAGGCUAUGACGGGUAGGGGGAGUGAGAGCUUGACCCCCAACAAUGGGACUGAGACACGGCCCAUACACCUACGGGUGGCAGCAGUCGAGAAUCUUCCACAAUGGGCGAAAGCCUGAUGGAGCGACACCGCGUGCUUGAAGAAACCCUUCGGGGCGUAAAUAGCUUUUAUAAAGGAACAAUUUUGAUUUAUCAAUAUGAGUGUACUUUAUGAAUAAGGGGCGGCAAACUUCGUGCCAGAAGCCUCGGUAAUACGAAGGCCCCAAGCGUUAUCCGGAUUAACUGGGCGUAAAGCGUGUGUAGGUGGUUUUAAUAGUGGUUGGUCAAAUUCCGAAGCUCAACUUCGGAGCUGCCAAUCAAACGUUGAAACUAGAGCAAGUGAGAGGUUGAUGGAACUUACCAAGUAGGGGUGAAAUCCGUUGAUAUGGUAAGGAACACCAAAGGCGAAGGCAAUCAACUGGUACUUAGCUGACACUGAGACACGAAAGCGUGGGGAGAGAAGAGGAUUAGAUACCCUCGUAUUCCACGC